This 253-nucleotide ribosomal RNA is filed under the name uncultured bacterium. RNAcentral's name for it is "partial 16S ribosomal RNA". It matches the Rfam family "Bacterial small subunit ribosomal RNA", at positions 524 to 776 of the family's 1533-position model. The record is from RNAcentral.
UACGGAGGGUGCGAGCGUUAAUCGGAAUUACUGGGCGUAAAGGGUGCGUAGGUGGUUAUUUAAGUUGUCUGUGAAAUCCCUGGGCUCAACCUGGGCAGGUCAGAUAAGACUGAAUGACUCGAGUAUAGGAGAGGGUAGUGGAAUUUCCGGUGUAGCGGUGAAAUGCGUAGAGAUCGGAAGGAACACCAGUGGCGAAGGCGGCUACCUGGCCUAAUACUGACACUGAGGCACGAAAGCGUGGGGAGCAAACAGG